AGCAGCUGUGACUGUAGCAGCAUCAGCACUUCUGGUGAUCCAGUGGAGAAGAAUGGACAGGGAGGAGAAGCUCAAUGCCAUUCCUGUCAUCCUCACAGAGCUGGAUGCCAUGAAGAGAGAUCCCAUCCCUAAAUCACG
This is a non-coding RNA of Lepisosteus oculatus (spotted gar), 138 nucleotides long. Lineage: Eukaryota; Metazoa; Chordata; Actinopteri; Semionotiformes; Lepisosteidae. The record is from RefSeq and is a predicted model, not a curated record.